Molecule: transfer RNA, 83 nt
Filed under: Flavobacterium sp. SUN052
Lineage: Bacteria; Pseudomonadati; Bacteroidota; Flavobacteriia; Flavobacteriales; Flavobacteriaceae
Description: tRNA-Arg
Rfam family: tRNA
About the family: Transfer RNA (tRNA) molecules are approximately 80 nucleotides in length. Their secondary structure includes four short double-helical elements and three loops (D, anti-codon, and T loops).
Source: RNAcentral
AGUUCAACUGGAUACCUGCCUGCCGGCAGGCAGGGAAUAUCAGAUUUCGGCUCUGAUGGUUGCAGGUUCGAACCCUGCCGAGG